Ictalurus furcatus (blue catfish) is the source of this 894-nucleotide long non-coding RNA. RefSeq lists it as uncharacterized. NCBI's taxonomy places the organism in Eukaryota, Metazoa, Chordata, Actinopteri, Siluriformes, Ictaluridae. The transcript has 3 exons. The record is from RefSeq and is a predicted model, not a curated record.
UGUGUUAGUGUGUGGUGGUGGUGUGUUAGUGUGUUGCUGAUCUGAAGCUGAUCUGUGUGUGUGUUUAUUUUUGUGUGUAUGUGUAUUUAUUUGUGUGUGUGUGUGUGUGUAUGUAUGUGUGUGUUUGUGUGUAUGUAUGUGUGUGUAUGUGUGCGUGUGUGUGUGUGUGUGUGUGUAUGUGUGCAUGUGUGUGUGAUUCUCUCUCAUUCUCAUGUCCACAUGUCUCUCGUCCCGCCUCUUUGCCCCAUGUACACACACUCAACAUGCACGCUCUCUCUCUCACACAGAGGAAUACACACACACACACACACACACACGCUCUGUCAGAGCAACACACACACACACACACACACACACACACAUGCUCUCACAGAGGAACACACACACACACACGCUCUCUCAGACGAACACACACAGAACAUUAGAAGAUGUCGGAUUCAGAGACCGCUGUUCCCACUGAGAGCCCAGUUCCUGCUCCCUGCCAGACCAUCAAGGCCGAUCUGGAUAAAUGUAUAAAGGAGAAAGGAGAAUCUGCGUGUAAGGAGCUGAUGGAGGCGUUCACUGCCUGUGUAAAGAGCAAAGCUACAGCAUCAUGAGGCGCUCCGAUGCACAGGACAGGUCCUCCACAUUCCCAGCAUUCCCUGCAGCACUUGGGCGGGAUUUGACAACAGAAACCCCCUACUCCACUUCCCUUACCCUUGUCUCCCCCUGUAAGGUUAAGAUGGCAUCUUCCUUCCCUCCCUCUCCCUCAUGACCCGAUGAUCUGAUCUGAUCUGAUCUGAUGUGGAGGCAGUUUGGGGAUCUUGUGUUUUUUUAAUGUAAAUUGUUUGUUUGAGAUUCUUCCAUAAUGAUGAAAUAAAGUUUCAGACAUCAGUACCGUGUUUGUUUUUGUCC